This 382-nucleotide ribosomal RNA is filed under the name uncultured bacterium. RNAcentral's name for it is "bacterial SSU rRNA". It matches the Rfam family "Bacterial small subunit ribosomal RNA", at positions 425 to 793 of the family's 1533-position model. The record is from RNAcentral.
GUAAAGCACUUUCAGUAGGGAGGAAGGUAGUGUACGUUAACACCUGCACUAUUUGACGUUACCUACAGAAGAAGCACCGGCUAACUCCGUGCCAGCAGCCGCGGUAAUACGGAGGGUGCGAGCGUUAAUCGGAAUUACUGGGCGUAAAGCGCAUGCAGGCGGCCUGUUAAGUCAGAUGUGAAAGCCCGGGGCGUUAAACCUCGGAAUUGCAUUUGAAACUGGCAGGCUAGAGUCUUGUAGAGGGGGGUAGGAAUUUCAGGUGUAGCGGUGAAAAUGCGUAGAGAUCUGAAGGAAUACCAGUGGCGAAGGCGGCCCCCUGGACAAAGACUGACGCUCAGAUGCGAAAGCGUGGGGAGCAAACAGGAUUAGAUACCCCUGGUAG